RNAcentral lists this ribosomal RNA (521 nucleotides) under uncultured bacterium. RNAcentral's name for it is "partial 16S ribosomal RNA". It matches the Rfam family "Bacterial small subunit ribosomal RNA", at positions 355 to 868 of the family's 1533-position model. The record is from RNAcentral.
UGGGGAAUUUUGGACAAUGGGCGCAAGCCUGAUCCAGCCAUGCCGCGUGCGGGAAGAAGGCCUUCGGGUUGUAAACCGCUUUUGUCAGGGAAGAAAUCUUCUGAGUUAAUACCUCGGGAGGAUGACGGUACCUGAAGAAUAAGCACCGGCUAACUACGUGCCAGCAGCCGCGGUAAUACGUAGGGUGCAAGCGUUAAUCGGAAUUACUGGGCGUAAAGCGUGCGCAGGCGGUUUUGUAAGACAGAGGUGAAAUCCCCGGGCUCAACCUGGGAACUGCCUUUGUGACUGCAAGGCUUGAGUGCGGCAGAGGGGGAUGGAAUUCCGCGUGUAGCAGUGAAAUGCGUAGAUAUGCGGAGGAACACCGAUGGCGAAGGCAAUCCCCUGGGCCUGCACUGACGCUCAUGCACGAAAGCGUGGGGAGCAAACAGGAUUAGAUAGCCCUGGUAGUCCACGCCCUAAACGAUGUCAACUGGUUGUUGGGAAGGUUCCUUCUCAGUAACGUAGCUAACGCGUGAAGUUGA